UAGAAUUCCACGUGUAGCAGUGAAAUGCGUAGAGAUGUGGAGGAAUACCGAUGGCGAAGGCAGCCUCCUGGGAUAACACUGACGUUCAUGCUCGAAAGCGUGGGUAGCAAACAGGAUUAGAUACCCUGGUAGUCCACGCCCUAAACGAUGACAAUUAGCUGUUGGGACACUAGAUGUUUUAGUAGCGAAGCUAACGCGUGAAAUUGUCCGCCUGGGGAGUACGGUCGCAAGAUUAAAACUCAAAGGAAUUGACGGGGACCCGCACAAGCGGUGGAUGAUGUGGAUUAAUUCGAUGCAACGCGAAGAACCUUACCUGGUCUUGACAUGUACGGAAUCUCUUAGAGAUAGGAGAGUGCCUUCGGGAGCCGUAACACAGGUGCUGCAUGGCUGUCGUCAGCUCGUGUCGUGAGAUGUUGGGGUUAAGUCCCGCAACGAGCGCAACCCUUGUCAUUAGUUGCCAUCAUUAAGUUGGGCACUCUAAUGAGACUGCCGGUGACAAACCGGAGGAAGGUGGGGAUGACGUCAAGUCCUCAUGGCCCUUAUGACCAGGGCUUCACACGUCAUACAAUGGUCGGUACAGAGGGUAGCGAAGCCGCGAGGUGAAGCCAAUCUCAGAAAGCCGAUCGUAGUCCGGAUUGCACUCUGCAACUCGAGUGCAUGAAGUCGGAAUCGCUAGUAAUUGCAGGUCAGCAUAC
This 695-nucleotide ribosomal RNA is filed under the name uncultured Snodgrassella sp. Its description in RNAcentral is "bacterial SSU rRNA". It matches the Rfam family "Bacterial small subunit ribosomal RNA", at positions 662 to 1357 of the family's 1533-position model. The record is from RNAcentral. Lineage: Bacteria; Pseudomonadati; Pseudomonadota; Betaproteobacteria; Neisseriales; Neisseriaceae.